Molecule: long non-coding RNA, 465 nt
Organism: Mercurialis annua (annual mercury)
Lineage: Eukaryota; Viridiplantae; Streptophyta; Magnoliopsida; Malpighiales; Euphorbiaceae
Exons: 2
Source: RefSeq, a predicted model, not a curated record
CCACUCAAACUCGAAAUUAAUAUAUUUUAGUGAACACCUAAAUGAACUUUGACAGAAAAAAACACCUAAAUGAACAAUAUACUUUAAAUAAAACAGAUAAUGUAGAUAAGUAAUCAUUUAUGAUUAGUAUCUGCAAAAUUCAAUGUAUAAUGUUGUCAACAUACUACACCUUAAUUAUGGUGAUCUAUAUAUGAGCAGUAUUGCAGCUUCACCGAACAACAAAAACUUACUAGUUCUUGUGUAUUGCAGAACUAAAAGAGAACAAAUCAAUGGCAGCUAACACUUCAUUGAAGCUAGCUUUCGUCGUUGCUCUACUAAUCGUCGGAUGUUAUGGGCAUAUGAUGGCUGAUGAUUAUAAGAACAGAUUGGGACCUGUAAUUUCUUUCCGUUGCAGAAAAAAUUCUGAUUGUAAAGGUAAAAACAAAUGCUGAAAAUUUCAAAUGUAUUUGCACUCUUAAUGAUCCA